This 605-nucleotide ribosomal RNA is filed under the name Halorubrum sp. Its description in RNAcentral is "bacterial SSU rRNA". It matches the Rfam family "Archaeal small subunit ribosomal RNA", at positions 299 to 905 of the family's 1478-position model. The record is from RNAcentral. Lineage: Archaea; Methanobacteriati; Methanobacteriota; Halobacteria; Halobacteriales; Haloferacaceae.
GGUUUUUGUCUUUGCUUCCGGGGUUUACGGGGUUGCCGCAGGCGCGAAACCUUUACACUGCACGACAGUGCGAUAGGGGGAUCCCAAGUGCACAGGCAUAGCGCCUGUGCUUUUCGACACCCUAAGGCGGUGUCGGAAUAAGGGCUGGGCAAGACCGGUGCCAGCCGCCGCGGUAAUACCGGCAGCCCGAGUGAUGGCCGAUCUUAUUGGGCCUAAAGCGUCCGUAGCUGGCCACGCAAGUCCAUCGGGAAAUCCACCUGCCCAACAGGUGGGCGCCCGGUAGAAACUGCGUGGCUUGGGACCGGAAGGCGCGACGGGUACGUCCGGGGUAGGAGUGAAAUCCUGUAAUCCUGGACGGACCGCCGAUGGCGAAAGCACGUCGCGAGAACGGAUCCGACAGUGAGGGACGAAAGCCAGGGUCUCGAACCGGAUUAGAUACCCGGGUAGUCCUGGCCGUAAACAAUGUCUGCUAGGUGUGGCUCCCACUACGAGUGGGUGCUGUGCCGUACGGAAGCCGCUAAGCAGACCGCCUGGGAAGUACGUCCGCAGGAUGAAACUUUAGGAGUUGACGGGGGAACCCAUAACGGGGGGGCCGGGGGGCGCCC